GCAAGUCGAGGGGUAACAGGAAAGCUUGCUUUUGUGACGACCGGCGCACGGGUGCGUAACGCGUAUGCAACCUACCUCAUACUUGCGGAUAGCCCUUGGAAACGAGGAUUAAUACUUCAUGGUAUCUUUAUUCGCAUGUUUUUAUGAUUAAAGGGUUUCGGUAUGAGAUGAGCAUGCGUCCCAUUAGCUAGUUGGUGAGGUAACGGCUCACCAAGGCGACGAUGGGUAGGGGGCCUGAGAGGGUGGUC
Molecule: ribosomal RNA, 248 nt
Filed under: uncultured bacterium
Lineage: Bacteria
Description: partial 16S ribosomal RNA
Rfam family: Bacterial small subunit ribosomal RNA
Source: RNAcentral